GAGUUUGAUCGUGGCUCAGGAUGAACGCUGGCGGUGUGCCUAAUACAUGCAAGUCGAGCGAACGGACGAGAAGCUUGCUUCUCUGAUGUUAGCGGCGGACGGGUGAGUAACACGUGGAUAACCUACCUAUAAGACUGGGAUAACUUCGGGAAACCGGAGCUAAUACCGGAUAAUAUUUUGAACCGCAUGGUUCAAAAGUAAAAGACGGUCUUGCUGUCACCUAUAGAUGGAUCCGCGCUGCAUUAGCUAGUUGGUAAGGUAACGGCUUACCAAGGCAACGAUGCAUAGCCGACCUGAGAGGGUGAUCGGCCACACUGGAACUGAGACACGGUCCAGACUCCUACGGGAGGCAGCAGUAGGGAAUCUUCCGCAAUGGGCGAAAGCCUGACGGAGCAACGCCGCGUGAGUGAUGAAGGUCUUCGGAUCGUAAAACUCUGUUAUUAGGGAAGAACAUAUGUGUAAGUAACUGUGCACAUCUUGACGGUACCUAAUCAGAAAGCCACGGCUAACUACGUGCC
Molecule: ribosomal RNA, 518 nt
Filed under: uncultured microorganism
Description: bacterial SSU rRNA
Rfam family: Bacterial small subunit ribosomal RNA
Source: RNAcentral